Non-coding RNA from Chelonoidis abingdonii (Abingdon island giant tortoise), 138 nucleotides. The record is from RefSeq and is a predicted model, not a curated record. Lineage: Eukaryota; Metazoa; Chordata; Testudines; Testudinidae.
GACCAGUGGGGUACAGGAGUCUGGUAGAGGGCAGAUCUACUAGCCACUGAAGAAGCAGGUUUCUGUUCGCUGAGUGACCAGAGCAGGGGCUGCACUAGAGUAAUCAGGAACCUGCUAAAACCAAUUAAGGCAAACAGG